Molecule: long non-coding RNA, 1338 nt
Filed under: Homo sapiens (human)
Lineage: Eukaryota; Metazoa; Chordata; Mammalia; Primates; Hominidae
Description: HSALNT0251420
Source: RNAcentral
AAAAAAAGCAUCACAUUUCUUUCCUAAAGCCUUGUCAAAUGCAUUCCUCCCUCCAAUCUGUCCCUUCUCAGUAGCGUGACUCUGCCUGACACCUUGUAUAUGAGUACAUAUUGCCUGUUCCUCAAAUGCUUCUCAUAUUACCUAAGUUAUAAGUUCCUCUAAGACAUGAAUAUGACUUCUUAAAAGAAUGGAUUUGGGCAUGAGUUCAUAAACUCAUUCCCAAAUGAGUUAAGUAUCAAAGUUGGAGGACACAGUCUUCCACAAGACCACCCUCACUUCUGACACCACUGCAAUCUCCUAAACUUGCACAACCACCCUCAAGUUUGAUAAUUUGCUAGAAGGACUCACAGGACUUGCUAAAAAUUAUUAUGUUCAUGGUUAUGAUUUGUUGUAGGGAAAGAAUACAUGUUAACAUUAGCCAGAGAGAUACACAGUCUGCAAGGGUUCCAAACUUAAAGCCCACAUUGUCCUCCUCCCAUUGAGUGAGGAGACAUUACCCUCCUAGCAUUGAUGUGUGAUAUAUACGGGGUAUUGCCAACCAGGAAAACUCACCUAAGCUUUGGUGUUCAGAGUUUUUAACCAGGACUGUGCUUAAGACAUGAUUGAUUGACUGCCCACACGAUUUUACUCAGUCUCCAGGUCAACUGAAUGCAUAACACAAAAUCCCCACCCUAACUCACAUGGUUGAUCUUUCUGGAGUGGUCAGAUCCUACCCUGACACAUGUGGCCCUACCCUAAAAUCCAGUCUGACCAGGUCACACCCUAAAAAGAAGACACCUUUUAUCAGAUAUGACCUAGAAUAUCCCCCAGACACUGAGGGGAAAGGCUAGUUCUUUAUUUGGGCAAGGCCAGAUUCUUUAUUUCAUACUUUGUGAUAAGUAUUUUGGUAGUAAACACUAAUUUGGUUAUUACUGUGGCCCUGAGAAAAGUUCCCUUGAUAAUUAAAUUAAUAUUUAGCUAUUCUAGAAUUAUCAUAUUUUAAGAGCAAUUAGCAUUUAAUGCCAUUCCACUAACGCUUUGUUUUUCAACUUUAUUCUUUCUAUGUAGGAAUACUUUCUUGUAAUCAUCGCAUAAAAUAAGCAAGAUAAUUUCUCUGUUGUGCUUCUUCACAAAUUAGAUAAGAUAAUUAAGACAUAAUUGCUUUCUUUUUCCUUAAUAUGGAGCAAAUAAAUAGUUCAAGAAUAUACAACAAGGGCAUAGACUGAGUAAUCUUGCAAACACUUUACCUCCUGGAAAGCAAAGGCAAUGAUCUCCAUUAAAAUUCAGCAAUAAUACUUAGUUAUUAUAGCAAUUACAAAGCCAUAGGUCUUUCCUAUCUCUAAUAUGUUUUAAACCUUU